UACAGAGGUCUCAAGCGUUGUUCGGAUUCAUUGGGCGUAAAGGGCGUGUAGGCGGCGCCGUAAGUCGGGUGUGAAAUUUCGGAGCUUAACUCCGAAACUGCAUUCGAUACUGCGGUGCUUGAGGACUGGAGAGGAGACUGGAAUUCAUGGUGUAGCAGUGAAAUGCGUAGAGAUCAUGAGGAAGACCAGUGGCGAAGGCGGGUCUCUGGACAGUUCCUGACAUUGAGACACGAAGGCCAGGGGAGCAAACGGG
This 253-nucleotide ribosomal RNA is filed under the name uncultured bacterium. Its description in RNAcentral is "partial 16S ribosomal RNA". It matches the Rfam family "Bacterial small subunit ribosomal RNA", at positions 524 to 776 of the family's 1533-position model. The record is from RNAcentral.